UGGGGGUUUAGUUUAGUGGUAAAAUUUUGGUCUCCAACACCAAAGUCCAAGGUUCGAAUCCUUGCGCCCUCGUUGA
RNAcentral lists this transfer RNA (76 nucleotides) under Bacillus phage QCM8. RNAcentral describes it as "tRNA-Trp". It matches the Rfam family "tRNA". Rfam says of the family: Transfer RNA (tRNA) molecules are approximately 80 nucleotides in length. The record is from RNAcentral. RNAcentral also lists the same sequence under 2 other names. Lineage: Duplodnaviria; Heunggongvirae; Uroviricota; Caudoviricetes; Herelleviridae.